GCCUAGCCCUAAACCUUGGUAAUAUAUCACAUACCCUACCCGCCUGGGAACUACGAGCACCAGCUUAAAACCCAAAGGACUUGGCGGUGCUUUAGACCCCCCUAGAGGAGCCUGUUCUAGAACCGAUAACCCCCGUUCAACCUCACCCUUCCUUGUUUAUCCCGCCUAUAUACCGCCGUCGUCAGCUUACCCUGUGAAGGCCUAAAAGUAAGCACAACUGGUACAACCCAAAACGUCAGGUCGAGGUGUAGCGCAUGGAGGGGGAAGAAAUGGGCUACAUUCCCUAUAUUAGGGAACACGAACGGCGCACUGAAACAAGCGCCUGAAGGAGGAUUUAGUAGUAAGCGGAAAAUAGCGUGUUCCACUGAAAUCGGCCCUGAAGCGCGC
RNAcentral lists this ribosomal RNA (387 nucleotides) under Sebastes iracundus. RNAcentral describes it as "partial 12S ribosomal RNA". It matches the Rfam family "Bacterial small subunit ribosomal RNA", at positions 794 to 1384 of the family's 1533-position model. Lineage: Eukaryota; Metazoa; Chordata; Actinopteri; Perciformes; Sebastidae. The record is from RNAcentral.